CAAACCACCCUGAGCUCUGCAAACACACCAGAGCGAGGGGCCUUCGUCCGAAUGCUGCAGCCUCUUUAUUCUGUGAGAUCACAAAGACUGAGUGCAUCAGAUUCUCAGAGCAGCCAGCGGAAUGUAGAAUGCAGACCACCCCAAGCUCUGCAAACAUGCCAGAGCGAGGGUGGCCUUCAUCCGAAUGCUGCAGCCUCUUUAUUCCGUGAAAUCCCUGAGCACAAAGACCAUGAACAUGUCAGGUUCUCCACACAGCAGCCAGCAGAAUGUAGAAUGCAUCAGGGCAGCUGUGCUGUGAGGCUGCAAUGACUCAAAUCAUCUAAUGGUCUGCACCUGAAAAGCCGAAAUGGGAAUGAAUGUUUGGAACAUAACUUAUUGGAAAGGCGGAAAGUAUGUACAAAGAAAUUCUCACAUGUUUCAGGUUAACUUUAAUAGGAAAAUAUGCCCCACCUUCAGGGAAAUAGAUGUUAGGGGCUGGAUGGUGUCCCCUUAAAAUUCAUAUGUCAAAGUCCCAACCCUCAGUAUCUCAGAAAGUUGUGAUAUUUAGAGACUGGGAUUUUAAACCGGUGAUUAAGUUAAAAGGGCCUUUUCGGUGGGCUGUAAUCCAAUCUGACUAGUGUCCUUAUAAGAAGCGUCAGCUCACAGAGGAAAAGCCAUUUGAGGCCUCAGGAGAAACCAACCCUGCCAACACCUUAACCAGCCUCUAAAAAUGUGAGAAAUAAAUGUGUUGUUUAAGCCACUCAGUCUGUAGUAUUUUGUUAGGGCAGCCCCAGCAAACUAAUGUCCUAGCAGACUAUAGCAUGUACACUGCGUUCAUUGAGACCACAUUCUCUGUACACAUAUCUCCAGAAUGCCUGUAAUUUGCACACAUCACCACAAGUCUUAAAAGGAUUUGAAAAUAUUGUGUUUUUCUGGCCUCAUUUAAAAUCCAGUCUGUCUGUCCUGAGAAGCAAAUCACGUACAGUUUGCAAGGUAAUACUUAAGUACCUAAAUGUUGAGAUUUACAUACAGUAAGAUCUCACGUAUCCAGAAAUAAUUGAAUACUUGGAGGUUCUAACACAUUGCCCCUAUUAAUAGACAAUUCUGACAAGCGCAGAUAGCUGAUGUCCCCACCAAACAUAUAGAAUAAUGUUUGCAAUGAGUGGAGAGGAGGACUAACGGCAGACACAGUUAAGGCUCAGGAAGAGACGGCCAGAGCCUGAGAGCAAAAAGAUAUGGGGAGAAUCAAUGGGAACCACUGAAGAACAGCCCCUUCUAUCUUAAUGUCUCCUGAGAGUGUCAGGUUACCAUGGCACCUGUUUUGAUGCCCAAGACAGCAAGAAAAAUGAUGUAACCUAAUGUACUACAUUUAAGAAGAAAUAAAGUAUGUGGUAUAUUUUGGAAACAUUUUUAUACAUCUUAGCUAAAAUGUUUAAAAGGUUAUUGCUUAAAUAAGUCAGCUUCAUUUAUCUGAACAUUUAAAUUAUGCAGAGAAGCUCAUCUCCCAGCUUUGGCAAAUAAGCAAGAUGUUUCUGUGCUAGUUUUCAAGCAUGAAUCAUCUUCAUAGAUCACAUCAGCGCAUUGAUCACACCAAAAGAAGUGUCUGGGUAACCACUCCUUUGCUUUGAUUUCUAGAGUCAAACGCUAACAGAUUUGAAGGACAUGAGAAAGCCUGAAUACCAUCCUCUCCAAACAGUGGGCCCCUCAAUCUGAACCUUGAAGCUGAAAUACGAUUCCUACUUCAUGUACAAAACACAUUUUUUAUUUUGCAAAGCCAAAGCCAUGCUUUAAAAAUACAGACUUUGAAUCUUAAGACAUUAUUUUGCAUUUUAAAGAGAGAUAUAGUUAAAGCUUACAAGAACAAUAUAAAGUUUCAAAUAACACCAUUGUCAGGUUUAAACAUGUUGGUAUGUUUACAUGACAGUUCUUUCCUUUUUUUUUUUUUUUUUUUUUGAGAUGGAGUCUCGCUUUGUCACCCAGGCUGGAGUGCAAUGGCACGAUCUCGGCUCACUGCAACCUCUGCCUCCUGGGUUCAAGCGAUUCUCUUGCCUCAGCCUCCCAAGUAGCUGGGAUUACAGGCACCCGCCACCACGCCUGGCAAAUUUUUGUAUUUUUAGUAGAGAGGGGUUUCGCCAUGUUGGCCAGGCUGGUCUCAAACUCCUGACCUCAAGUGAUCCACCCAUCUUAGCUUCCCAAAAUGCUGGGAUUACAGGUGUGAGCCACCAUGCCUAGCCCAUGACAGUACCUUCCUAACAUGUGUUUGUAUUUUUGUAACACAAGUUGCUAUUUUUCUAAUGUUCAUAUAUUUACAUAGCCCUUUAAAAACAUGAGUUCCAUGAACUUUCUAUGUCAUUGAAGAGAGCUGUUAAAAUCUGAUUCCAUCACAAAUUUCAGACCCCUUUAAAAUAAUUAUCAGAAGCCAGCAUAAUUCCAGCUGUCCCCUAGCUAAUCUGCAGCUCCUCAUAACAAAAGUCUUCAGCCACACAUUGCUCUUCAACCACAUUAAAGAAACGGAACAAAACUUCUUUCUACAUUGUCUCAGUAAAGUUGCUUUCUUUAAAAAAAAAAAAAAA
Molecule: long non-coding RNA, 2552 nt
Organism: Homo sapiens (human)
Lineage: Eukaryota; Metazoa; Chordata; Mammalia; Primates; Hominidae
Exons: 2
Source: RefSeq, a predicted model, not a curated record